AAUAAAGUGCCUGAAUAAAGGAUUAUUCUGAUAGAAUAAAUAAUGUAAUUUUUUACCUUUAUUA
RNAcentral lists this transfer RNA (64 nucleotides) under Heliconius hecale. Its description in RNAcentral is "tRNA-Ile". The record is from RNAcentral. Lineage: Eukaryota; Metazoa; Arthropoda; Insecta; Lepidoptera; Nymphalidae.